CUUGGCCUUGAUGGGAUCCUGUGUGUCUGUGUGAGACUCCAGAAUGCUCCUCACUCUCACUGGACUCAGUGUGGACUGAUCCUCUUCUUCCGGUUGUGUGAGGCACAGUGUGCGAGGAUUGCCCACGACUAGACUGCUCAGAUCUAGAGGUAUCUCUUGACUGCCGUUGCGUCGUUCUUUGUGUCCCCUGACCUGAGGAUCCAGACUCUCCCUGUUGAGAUCCUGCUUGGCCUUGAUGGGAUCCUGUGUGUCUGUGUGAGACUCCAGAAUGCUCCUCACUCUCACUGGACUCAGUGUGGACUGAUCCUCUUCUUCUGGUUGAGUGGGGCACAGUGUGCGAGGAUUGCCCACGACUAGACUGCUCAGAUCUAGAGGUAUCUCUUGACUGCCGUUGCGUCGUUCUUUGUGUCCCCUGACCUGAGGAUCCAGACUCUCCCUGUUGAGAUCCUGCUUGGCCUUGAUGGGAUCCUGUGUGUCUGUGUGAGACUCCAGAAUGCUCCUCCCUCUCACUGGACUCAGUGUGGACUGAUCCUCUUCUUCUGGUUGAGUGGGGC
Molecule: non-coding RNA, 554 nt
Organism: Oryctolagus cuniculus (rabbit)
Lineage: Eukaryota; Metazoa; Chordata; Mammalia; Lagomorpha; Leporidae
Source: RefSeq, a predicted model, not a curated record